UGGGAUAUAGCUCAGUGGUGGAGCAUUUACCUGGAGUGCACAAGACCCUGGGUUUGAUCCCCAGUACUGCAA
RNAcentral lists this transfer RNA (72 nucleotides) under Marmota marmota marmota (Alpine marmot). It matches the Rfam family "tRNA". From Rfam's summary of the family: Transfer RNA (tRNA) molecules are approximately 80 nucleotides in length. Their secondary structure includes four short double-helical elements and three loops (D, anti-codon, and T loops). Further hydrogen bonds mediate the characteristic L-shaped molecular structure. tRNAs have two regions of fundamental functional importance: the anti-codon, which is responsible for specific mRNA codon recognition, and the 3' end, to which the tRNAs corresponding amino acid is attached (by aminoacyl-tRNA synthetases). tRNAs cope with the degeneracy of the genetic code in two manners: having more than one tRNA (with a specific anti-codon) for a particular amino acid; and 'wobble' base-pairing, i.e. permitting non-standard base-pairing at the 3rd anti-codon position. The record is from Rfam by way of RNAcentral. Lineage: Eukaryota; Metazoa; Chordata; Mammalia; Rodentia; Sciuridae. RNAcentral also lists the same sequence under 1 other name.